Molecule: long non-coding RNA, 2231 nt
Organism: Cygnus olor (mute swan)
Lineage: Eukaryota; Metazoa; Chordata; Aves; Anseriformes; Anatidae
Exons: 3
Source: RefSeq, a predicted model, not a curated record
AGGAGUGGAAAUGGUAACAAAUGGACAUAUAUUUUAGAGACAGCAACUCCUGGACAAAAAGAAAAGGCUGACACGGUUUGUAGGAGCAGUGCCUUGAACUCAAAGUCAGAAGAUUUCAUAGAAGGGACUGAAAUCAGAGUUGAAGGAGAGGAAGCAAAAAACCUUUUUCAGGCUCUGCACAAAGGGACUUCGCUUCAAGAGACGUCUCAUCUCUUCCAGCCAGACUACUUUUGCCUUUAGAAAGGAGUGAAAAACAAUGCUGCAAGAAAGAGGUGUUCCUGCACACAGGGGUUUAUUACCUAAGAGAUGUCUGAUUCCAUGAAAUAAAUAUUUUAUGUAACAAGCCCUUGGCUCUUAAAAUGGAUAGAGCUGUCUAACUUUAGCAUAAUAGAUUGCAUUGCAAGAUGGUCUUUUACAGUCUCUUUUAAAUCUUCUCCCUUAUUCUCGGCAGAGAUUGGGAGAUGUUACUGCAGGUGUCAUUUGAACUUUUAAACAAUAAUUAAAUCUCAUUCUUGUUUAUCAGUUUCUUUUAUUGUUGCAAAAGCUAACAAUCUGAAAUACUUUACGUUAGUUUUAAAAAAGAGCUUUUUGCUAGGAUCUAUUAAUCAUCUAAAACUUCUGAAAUGCAGUGUUAUCAAAUUGCAAAAUUUCACUCGUAGGUAGAAAAUACUAUUUAGUUUUGUUUUUUUUUUUUUGGAUUUUCCUAUUGCAAACUUCUGUGAAGUUAAUGUAAAGAUACCCAAACUGCACAGUAGAUAGAGGAGGGCUUCUGAUAAUACAGUGUUUGAAUACUACAUGUUUUUCUAAGUAUAACUACAUCUGAAGUUGAGUUCUGAGUGGUGUUACUGGAAUUUAAUAACUUUAAAAAAAAAAAAACUUCUGGAAAAACUGAGCAAACAACAGUGUUUGUACUACUAUUUCUCAUGGAGAUUCUGUUUUGAUUCUUUCAGUCACUUCGUAAAAACUCCUUGAUGUUAUAUAUCAACAGGGGACUACUUUGUUUUUGAGUGCAAAAGCAAUCUAGCAUUCGAAAAUAAAACCAUAGCCAUUAAUCAGGAUUUGAACAAUGUAUUUAAAAUAAAGUAACACAUAGUAGAAAAGGCAGAAUAAGAUAGAAAGGUAGAAUAAAUUUCAUCUCAGUUUUUUAUAGAUUUGCGUCAUAAAAAAUAACUAAUAUUUAUCUAUUUAUGAAUAACCAUGUGUAAUCCAAAGAUGCACUAAAAUCUUGUGUAAGAAGAUGUAAUCUUGAAAUUAGUACGACUGUAACUUAAAAUAGGACUUCAAGACAAUUCACUAUCAAGUAUGUUUGCCUUCAAGUUGCGGAAGUAGAAAUCAUGGUGAAUAUCUCAGAAAGUAUUAGUUCUAAUUUCCCCAGUAUUUAAGGGUGCAAAAUUCGGGGUUUUUCACAACUGUGAUACAGUUAUGAGAAUUAAUUAGCUUAAUUGUGUAUGUCAUUACAGCAGUGACUUAUAAAUGUGAACAGAAAAAAAAAGGCAACCCAAACCCUUCUGAUAGUUUCAGACAUUUGGAAAGGUCAGUUUUCUCUUGCAUUAUAUUACAUUUCUCAUAGUGUGGUCAGCUUAUCCCUUUUGGCAGUGAUUCUUAUGCUAGUCAGAUGUGGAAUAGGGUCCUACAGAGUUUUAUGCAUCUGCCUAAUAUUUCCAUUUCCAUUAUGGUUAUGCUGCUUCUAGAUACUUUACUUCUAAAUUUGGUUUUCAAUUACCGUCUUUAUACUGUGACAUCCAUGUACUGAGAAUUUAUUUCUGUUCAUGUGGAAGAAGCAGUCUUGCAAAACACUUAUCAGAUGGUCUGUGUUACAAAUUUAUAUAACACCUACCAGCAGAAACAAGAAUGUAGUCUCAAGAGCAUGCAGGUAUGAGACUUGCUUAAAAGAGAUUGUAUUUGUUAUUUUUCAUCUCAGGCAAUAUCCCUCUGUGGGAAAAGGCUGUAAAAAUCAUGGAGAUUAAAUAAAUGUGUGUUUUUCUAUAGAAAUUAUUUUAAAAGCAUAUACAUUUCAUUACCAUGCUUUUGUUUUAGAGAGAUUUAAUUGAUCAUCUGUAAUUCUGUAGCAGACCACCACGUGUAACUGUUGGUUGUUAACUGCAUAAUAAAUGCUAUAGAAUAUUUUCAUGAGAGCUAUUGUAUGUAUUACACUAUGUAAUGCAUGUAUGUUAGAAUCAGUUAUUAAUAUUUAUUAUUUUGAAAGCAGUAGGAAAUGCUUUAUUUGUCUU